RNAcentral lists this ribosomal RNA (119 nucleotides) under Arabis alpina (gray rockcress). The record is from RNAcentral. Lineage: Eukaryota; Viridiplantae; Streptophyta; Magnoliopsida; Brassicales; Brassicaceae.
AGGUUCGAUCAUACCAGCACUAGAGCACCGGAUCCCAUCAGAAUUCCGCAGUCAAGUGUGCUUGGGCGAGAGUAGUACUAGGAUGGGUGACCUCCUGGGAAGUCCUCGUGUUGCACCCC